CGUUGAAACACCGGUUCCCGUACGAUCACCGAAGUUAAGCAACGUCGAGGCUGGUCAGUACCUAGAUGGUGGAUCGCUUUGGAAUACCAUGUGCUGUAA
Molecule: ribosomal RNA, 99 nt
Filed under: Acanthosepion pharaonis
Lineage: Eukaryota; Metazoa; Mollusca; Cephalopoda; Sepiida; Sepiidae
Source: RNAcentral